This 467-nucleotide ribosomal RNA is filed under the name uncultured bacterium. RNAcentral's name for it is "partial 16S ribosomal RNA". It matches the Rfam family "Bacterial small subunit ribosomal RNA", at positions 28 to 507 of the family's 1533-position model. The record is from RNAcentral.
GAUGAACGCUGGCGGCGCGCCUAACACAUGCAAGUCGAACGAUUAAAGCACCUUCGGGUGUGUAUAAAGUGGCGAACGGCUGAGUAACACGUGGGCAACCUGCCCCUUUCAUUGGGAUAGCCACGGGAAACCGUGGAUAAUACCGAAUACUUCGAGACUUCCGCAUGGAAGACUCGAGAAAGCUCCGGCGGGGAGGGAUGGGCCCGCGGCCUGUUAGCUUGUUGGUGGGGUAACGGCCUACCAAGGCAAUGAUGGGUAGCUGGGUUGAGAGACCGACCAGCCAGAUUGGGACUGAGACACGGCCCAGACUCCUACGGGAGGCAGCAGUGGGGAAUCUUGCACAAUGGGCGAAAGCCUGAUGCAGCGACGCCGCGUGCGGGAUGAAGGCCUUCGGGUUGUAAACCGCUUUCAGCAGGGACGAGGCGAAAGUGACGGUACCUGCAGAAGAAGCCCCGGCUAACUACGUG